UACGUAGGGUGCGAGCGUUGUCCGGAAUUAUUGGGCGUAAAGGGCUCGUAGGCGGUUUGUCGCGUCGGGAGUGAAAACCCAGGGCUUAACCCUGGGCUGGCUUCCGAUACGGGCAGACUAGAGGUAUGCAGGGGAGAACGGAAUUCCUGGUGUAGCGGUGAAAUGCGUAGAUAUCUGGAGGAACACCGGUGGCGAAGGCGGCAUCCUGGACCGAGAUUGACGCUGAUGCGCGAAAGCCAGGGGAGCAAACGGG
RNAcentral lists this ribosomal RNA (253 nucleotides) under uncultured bacterium. Its description in RNAcentral is "partial 16S ribosomal RNA". It matches the Rfam family "Bacterial small subunit ribosomal RNA", at positions 524 to 776 of the family's 1533-position model. The record is from RNAcentral.